Molecule: ribosomal RNA, 431 nt
Filed under: uncultured bacterium
Lineage: Bacteria
Description: partial 16S ribosomal RNA
Rfam family: Bacterial small subunit ribosomal RNA
Source: RNAcentral
AGCGAACGCUGGCGGCAGGCCUAACACAUGCAAGUCGAACGCCCCUUCGGGGGAGUGGCGGACGGGUGAGUAACGCGUGGGAAUGUGCCCUUUGGUACGGAACAACUAAGGGAAACUUCAGCUAAUACCGUAUGUGCCCUACGGGGGAAAGAUUUAUCGCCAUUGGAGCAGCCCGCGUUGGAUUAGGUAGUUGGUGGGGUAAUGGCCCACCAAGCCGACGAUCCAUAGCUGGUCUGAGAGGAUGAUCAGCCACACUGGGACUGAGACACGGCCCAGACUCCUACGGGAGGCAGCAGUGGGGAAUCUUGCGCAAUGGGCGAAAGCCUGACGCAGCCAUGCCGCGUGAAUGAUGAAGGUCUUAGGAUUGUAAAAUUCUUUCACCGGGGAAGAUAAUGACGGUACCCGGAGAAGAAGCCCCGGCUAACUUCGUG